This 1004-nucleotide ribosomal RNA is filed under the name human gut metagenome. RNAcentral describes it as "bacterial LSU rRNA". It matches the Rfam family "Bacterial large subunit ribosomal RNA", at positions 1926 to 2925 of the family's 2925-position model. The record is from RNAcentral.
AACGGCGGCCGUAACUAUAACGGUCCUAAGGUAGCGAAAUUCCUUGUCAGGUAAGUUCUGACCCGCAUGAAAGGCGUAAUGAUUUGGGCACUGUCUCGACAGCCCGCCCGGCGAAAUUGUAGUACCGGUGAAGAUGCCGGUUACCCGCGACAAGACGGAAAGACCCCAUGGAGCUUUACUGUAGCCUAAUAUUGGGUUUCGAUGUUGCAUGCACAGGAUAGAUGGGACACAGGGAAACAAGUGCUUUGGCAUUUGUGGAGUGGCCGUUGGGAUACCAUCCUUGCGAUAUUGGAAUUCUAACCUGCGCCUUUGAAUCAAGGCGGGGGACAUUGUUAGGUGGGCAGUUUGACUGGGGCGGUCGCCUCCUAAAGAGUAACGGAGGCGUUCAAAGGUUCGCUCAGCUUGAACGGAAAUCAAGCAAAAGAGUGCAAACGCAGAAGCGAGCCUAACUGCGAGACUGACGGGUCGAGCAGUAACGAAAGUUGGAGUUAGUGAUCCGGUGGUAUGUGAGUGGAAAUGCCAUCGCUCAACGGAUAAAAGUUACCCUGGGGAUAACAGGCUGAUCUCCCCCAAGAGUCCACAUCGACGGGGAGGUUUGGCACCUCGAUGUCGGCUCAUCGCAUCCUGGGGCUGUAUUCGGUCCCAAGGGUUUGGCUGUUCGCCAAUUAAAGCGGUACGCGAGCUGGGUUCAGAACGUCGUGAGACAGUUCGGUCCCUAUCUGUCGUGGGCGCAGGAUAUUUGAUGGGAGCUGUUCCUAGUACGAGAGGACCGGAGCGGACGUACCUCUGGCGCACCAGUUGUUCUGCCAAGAGCAUAGCUGGGCAACUAUGUACGGAUCGGAUAAACGCUGAAAGCAUCUAAGCGUGAAGCCGACCCAAAGAUAAGAUAUCCCAUUGUUUCAAACAAGUAAGACCCCUUGAAGACUACAAGGUUGAUAGGCACGAUGUGUAAGUGGAGUGAUCCAUUCAGCAAGCGUGUACUAAUAGGUCGAGGGCUUGACCAC